GGGGGUGUAGCUCAGUGGUAGAGUGCUUGCCUAGCAUGCAUGAGGCCCUGGAUUCUAUCCCCA
RNAcentral lists this transfer RNA (63 nucleotides) under Ictidomys tridecemlineatus (thirteen-lined ground squirrel). RNAcentral describes it as "Spermophilus tridecemlineatus (thirteen-lined ground squirrel) tRNA". It matches the Rfam family "tRNA", at positions 1 to 62 of the family's 71-position model. From Rfam's summary of the family: Transfer RNA (tRNA) molecules are approximately 80 nucleotides in length. Lineage: Eukaryota; Metazoa; Chordata; Mammalia; Rodentia; Sciuridae. The record is from Rfam by way of RNAcentral.